UACGUAGGGACCAAGCGUUGUUCGGAUUUACUGGGCGUAAAGGGCGCGUAGGCGGUGCGGUAAGUCACUUGUGAAAUCUCUGAGCUUAACUCAGAACGGCCAAGUGAUACUGCAGUACUAGAGUGCGGAAGGGGCAAUCGGAAUUCUUGGUGUAGCGGUGAAAUGCGUAGAUAUCAAGAGGAACACCUGAGGUGAAGACGGGUUGCUGGGCCGACACUGACGCUGAGGCGCGAAAGCGUGGGGAGCAAACAGG
RNAcentral lists this ribosomal RNA (253 nucleotides) under uncultured bacterium. RNAcentral's name for it is "partial 16S ribosomal RNA". It matches the Rfam family "Bacterial small subunit ribosomal RNA", at positions 524 to 776 of the family's 1533-position model. The record is from RNAcentral.